AACGGAGGGAGCGAGUGUUACUUAUCGUAACUGGGUGUAAAACGUCUGUAGAUGGUCUAAUAAGUCUUUACUAAAAAACACUGUGAAGUGUAAUCUUAUUUAUACUAUUGGACUUGAGUUAAAAAGAUUGUAGCGGUACCUGGUGUGUAAAAGUGAAAUUUGUAAAAACAUCAGGGACGAACAUUUGGGCGAAGGCGGCUACAAAUUUUUAACUGACAUUGAGAGACGAAAGUAUAGGGAGCAAACGGG
This 249-nucleotide ribosomal RNA is filed under the name uncultured bacterium. Its description in RNAcentral is "partial 16S ribosomal RNA". It matches the Rfam family "Bacterial small subunit ribosomal RNA", at positions 524 to 776 of the family's 1533-position model. The record is from RNAcentral.